CCAAUAGCGUAUAUUAAAGUUGUUGCAGUUAAAAAGCUCGUAGUUGAACUUCGGGGUUCACCCAUUGGUCGGGCUUAAUUGUCUGUACUGGUGAGAUGAGUCUCUACCUUCUGAGGAACUUUCAUGCCAUUUAUUUGGUGUGAUUGGAAAUCAGGACUGUUACUUUGAAAAAAUUAGAGUGUUUAAAGCAGGCUAACGUCUGAAUACAUUAGCAUGGAAUAAUGAAAUAGGACGGAUUGAUUCUAUUUCGUUGGUUUCUAGGGUCACCGUAAUGAUUAAUAGGGAUAGUUGGGGGCAUUAGUAUUCAAUUGUCAGAGGUGAAAUUCUUGGAUUUAUUGAAGACUAACUACUGCGAAAGCAUUUGCCAAGGAUGUUUUCAUUAAUCAAGAACGAAAGUUAGGGGAUCGAAGACGAUCAGAUACCGUCGUAGUCUUAACCAUAAACUAUGCCGACUAGGGAUCGGACGCAGUUAAUUUUAUAAUGACGUGUUCGGCACCUUACG
RNAcentral lists this ribosomal RNA (502 nucleotides) under uncultured Glomeromycotina. RNAcentral describes it as "partial small subunit ribosomal RNA". It matches the Rfam family "Eukaryotic small subunit ribosomal RNA", at positions 591 to 1092 of the family's 1831-position model. The record is from RNAcentral. Lineage: Eukaryota; Fungi; Glomeromycota.